CCCUUAGAUGUUCUGGGCCGCACGUGCGCUACACUGAUGCAUUCAACAAGCCUAGCCUUGACCGAGAGGUCCGGGUAAUCUUUGAAACUGCAUCGUGAUGGGGCUAGAUUAUUGCAAUUAUUAAUCUUCAACGAGGAAUGCCUAGUAAGCGUGAUUCAUCAAAUCGCGUUGAUUACGUCCCUGCCCUUUGUACACACCGCCCGUCGCUCCUACCGAUUGAAUGUGUUGGUGAGGAGCUCGGAUUGGCAGCAGUUGGUGGUUCGCCACCGGCUAUUGCUGAGAAGUCCUCCAAACCGCCCCAUUUAGAGGAAGGAGAAGUCGUAACA
This 326-nucleotide ribosomal RNA is filed under the name uncultured eukaryote. RNAcentral describes it as "partial 18S ribosomal RNA". It matches the Rfam family "Eukaryotic small subunit ribosomal RNA", at positions 1470 to 1796 of the family's 1831-position model. The record is from RNAcentral.